UAUCCAUGAACCAUGAUGCGACACUACUAUGCAGUAGUAAUGAGCUACUGCACAGUCAGCAUCUCAUGUAGGUGCAGCCCAAAAUGCCCAAAUAGCAGCAUCAAAAAAUAAAUUAAAGACCUUUCUUCUAUUUUAGACUUCCCCUUCAUAUAGAUUGCACACCUUCGUGUAAGGCUCAAACCUAGCUACAGCCAUCUAUGUUUCGCAUCUUCAUUUUGAUCACUGAAAUUAAUCGUACCCAAGAAUGAAGUCACAUACCAUAUACAAGUUCUAACUGGUAAAAAAAUUAAAUCCAUUUUCUUACGGCUGUGUUAAGGAGGUCAGUUUGGUGCUUUCUUGUUAACAUCAGCUCCCUAUUGAGUGUAAAUUUCAAUUCAAGGACUUUCUGCCCUAAUAUUCAAAGUCUUCUACAGACUGGAAUUACCUGAAAGAUCAUCUCUACCUUGCCUUCUGCCUCACUUCUAACUCUCCCAUCACAGCUAUCUUUCAUUGAAACGCUGGAAAAUUCAGCUACUAGGAGAGGAGGUGCUCAUAUACGGCAGGGAAAAUGUUGACAGGAAUUGGACCUAGACUAUGGAACACUCUCCCACAGGAGGCAAGUCUAAUUGUGGAGUUCACCAUUUAAAAAAUAAAUGCCAUUUUUUUACUCAGCUUUCCUUCAACAAAGACAUUACAAAGAACAGACUACAUGGACUAGAGAGGAAGAACAAGGUGUUGACAUUAUUGUUCCUCUUUAAAAUACUCAAAGGGCACUCAGAAACUGUACUCAUAGGUGACAUAUUGGUAUCCUGAUGAGCAGAUAGAGUGCUUUUUUAGAGAAAGAAGUAUAAGUUGAUAGCAUCCUUAAGUGGUUAUAACUCAAUCUUCUUUUUUAACCAGCUGUUUCAAGUGAUAGUUUUUUCAAUGUGUGCCUACUAAAACUGUUACUUCAGAAAGCUAGUAAGGAAUUUUCUUUUUAAACAAAUAAACAUAUCUAGCUUUUCCAUGUAUUUUUAAUAAACUUCAUAAAAUGCCCAUCAACAGAAAGAUAAAUUUUCUUGUGGUAGCAGAGCUGGAUGUGAUUACUUUCUCACUAGCCCUUCUCAGACCCUGAAAGUGAAUCAAGCAAUGAGAGAGGGAACACAGGAGGGUGGAGUAUGUUACCUCACACUUGUCAAACAGGGCUAUUUUAUUUUUCCCAUUGAAUUAAAGUCCACUUCAUCCCUACCGUAUAGACUCAUAGAAAUGUAAGGCUGGAAAGACUCUCAAGAGGCUAUCCAGUCUAGCCCACUGCACAAAGGCAGGAUCAAGUAUAUCUAGAACAUCCCUGACAUAUGCUUAUUUAACCUAUUCUUAAAAAACCUCCGGUGAAGGGAGAUUAUGGAAGCAGCCUAAGCAGCCUGUUCCAGUGUUUUAUUAAUUAGAAAGCAUUCUCGAAUAUCCAACUUAAACCAUCUUCACUGCAUAUUAAGUUGAUUUUUUCUUUUCCUUGAACAAGGAAAACAAUUUAUCACAGCCCUUUUUAUAACAACCUGUUAUUUACUGGAGGAUUGUUAUGUUCACUCCUUAGUCUCCUCUUUUCCAAAAGAAAAACCACCAGUUUCUUCAACCUUUCCUCAUAGAUCACAGAUUCUUAUUUUUGUUGCUCUUGCCUGCACUCUCUUUAUAUCUGUUUUAAGGAUGGUCUCUAAAAAACUGGACACUGCUGGACAGUGUCAAAUAAAGAAGAAUUUACUUCUGUUUCUACAAAUGACAAUCUGAUUAAUACAUCCCAGAAUAAGAUUAUCUUUUUUGAAAUCUGAUCAUAUUGUAGGCUCAUAUUUAGUUUAUGAGCCUACAAUAUGGCCACUAUAUGAGCCACUAUAAACCCAGUUGUAUCUCUGUUUAGCCAGUUAUUUCAAAUUUUGUAUUUGAGCAUUUAAUUUCUCCUCCUUCAGUGUACCACUUUAUACUAAUCUUUAUUGAAUUUCAUCAUGUUGAUUUUAAAUCAUCUCUCAAAUUUGUUAAGAUUCUUUUUGAAUUCUUAUCCUGUUCUCCAGAAUACCUGCAACUGCUCCAAGCUUGGUAUCAUAGGUAAAUUUUUUGAGAGCCCCAAAGAAGAGGAAUUAAUGUCUUCAACACCUCUUUGCAAAUCAUGGCUUGGUUCCAAGGUUACAGGAAAAAUCAUUGUUAAAGCCAAGAUUAGAACUUGAAGGAUUCUGAUUCAAGAGUGUUUACACUCUUACAAUCAACAGCCCACACCAAUCUCUCAUGGUAAUAGGUAGCAUACAGUCUGUGCAGGAGUACUUGGUACCAGCCUAUAUUAAUAUACGAAGAGUAUGACAAAUGUAUUAACAGUGAAAAAUGUUUUAUUUCCUUCUAAAGUUACAGCUACAAUUUAUUGCACAUCAGUACAAGUGAAACAUAUACAGUGACUAUAAUCACUUUCAAAAUAAAACACUAAAAUUAUUGUUUUGGACAUUUUAAUUGAACAUUUUACUUGUCACUUAAUUUUUAAAAGAUAGUUUAACAAUAGGUAGGCAGCCACAAUCGACACUCUUACUGUUUUUCAAAUGACAUUUCUCUAGCACAGUAAGAACAAUAUUGACCAUAUACAGACUUUACUCUUUGAAAUCCCUCUCUCCUCAUUUUUUUUGUCCAUUGAUGACCAACCUUCAGCCUUAUCUCUGAAGAGGUGUACAGCUCUGUUGCACUGAAAAACUGCAUGGAAACCUGUCAGAAGCUAGAAAUCCAACUCUAAUUUGCAUAAGUCACUUCCAUAUUUUAUAUGAAAAGCAAUUGUGCACAACUAUAAUAUUUGCUUUUACUUCCUUAACAGUUGAACGGAAGUUGCCUGGUGUUUGAGUUAAUCAACAAUAAAACUAUAUGGCUGAUCAGCUUCAUCUUCAUCCUUUGACUGUGAAGGUGGGAGUGGCUGUAUGUUUAAUUUUAUGAUGAUAUAGGUCAUAUUUAGCUCUUAAGUAGCAUGAUCAGUAUGAAUGCCUUGUAGAGUGCCAAUUUAAAGGAAUGGAACACAAGUUCUCUUGUGAUUUUAUAUAAUUAAAAUGAAACCUACAACAUUUUAGUAUGGAAAGUAGUACCUACAUUAAGAUUGGCUGUAAGGAAACAGAAUUUUACUUAUUUUAUAAUAGUAGUGGUAACUGUUGAACGCUACUUUGUAUCUUAAGACAAUGAACACAGAGCUCAUUCUUAUUCAAUACACAUGUUUCUGCAUGGUUUACAGGACAAUGGAUCAGUUUAAUCUUUGCUAUAGUAACUUAUUCAACUUGCACUUAGAGGGCCACACCACGGAUGAAUUUCGGCCAAUGUUUUUUUUAUUUUCCCCAUCAGAACAUUCUGCACAAUCCUGCUAUUUUUUAAACAUGCAACUUAAAAUGCAUAGCUUUGCUUUUCACAAGAACAGAAAAAAUAUAUUUUUAGAAAGUGUAUUAAAAUUAUGUUUAAACAAACUAUGCACACCUAUUCUAAGAUCUACACAAAAGUUGUUGAAAACUACAUUUAAUUCUGCAUAUUUCUUUUGAUUUUCUUAAAUAACAGCUAAAAUACUUUUGUUAAGGCAUAACAAAAGUUCUGGAUGAUGCAAUAAGUAAAUGUUGAAAGGGAAUUAGUGACAGCAGUGAAUCAAUUAAAAUAUAGCCAAGCAUCAUCAUAUUUUGGUCAAGUGGCCGUAUGUUUGUUAAAUUUGUAAUUUAAAAUAUCUCCUAAACUCACUUCUUGACGCCCUGAAGAAUUAUCAUCUCAGGGAAGAGAGUGGAGCAGGAAAAGGCCUAUUUCUACCUGGUGCCACUUUUUAUGGGCAUCAUUGACAUCGACUAGCCAGGUGCUCAUAAAUGCUGGGAAGGCCAAUACUAGUCCUCCUAAGAGAUAAGAGGUAAGUUUUUUCUUGAGGCUGUGAAAAUAGAGAAGGGAGGGAAACAAAGAGGGGAUGUGUUCAAGCCAACAAGUCAGAAGAUGAUUUUCACCAAAUGUUUUUAAAAGAUUUGAGAAAGGCAAGCUGAGACUCAAGAUCAGAGAUGAAGAGCCUAAUAGCUGACACAGAAAAUAACAGUUGUUGUUUAGGAGGCUUUUUUACUUAUUCAUUUUGCCACACUAUGUUAGGGAGGCUUAUAAUUAACUUUUCCCGAGUCUUCUACCAUCAAAGCAAACAGCAGAGACACUGGAAAAUUUUGGUAAUUUUCAAAAUGUUCCCCUUCAAAAUACCAUACAAAAUUCAAACAGCUCAUAAAUUACAAUAAGAAUUUGAAAUUAAUCCUCUCAGAGAUUUUUUAAAAAUAGCUGUGAUCCCUUUUAAAAUGAAAAGCCAGGUCCAGCUUUAAGUACGGUGACGCUUCUGCUCCAAAAUUGUAUAAAGUGAAAGGGGAAACUCCCCCAAAUGUGGGGCCUUAUCCUGGAAACUCUUGCUCCCAUACCUAAAGUUCAUUCGCAUGACUUCACUGAAACUACUGAGUAGUAGUACACAUGGUAGUUUUUGCAAGAUCAAGGCCUUGUUUUGUACAACACAAUCAAGGUAAUUUCUACAAGGUCAGAAAGCUGUAAUGAGAGGAAGUGAAAUCCUGGCCAGUUAUAUCUGGAAUCAAUUAAGUGUUUUCUGCAUUUUUCAGAUGGUGCUUGUCCUUCUAUUUAACGUCAGCUCAACCAAUUCAAGUUACUAACAAAAUAACAACUGGACAAUGCAUAUGACACACUACCUUCGCUUCAAAAUUGGCUGUAAUACAAAAUAAGGAAUGGGAGGAAAACUUGUCAAAAAUUUGAGUUUAAAGUGAACCUGUUUUCCCCCUUAAAUGAUAAACUGGCCAACAAUCUUAUGGAUGGGCUGGCAUAAUUUCAGGUUCUACACAACUUGUUUUGGGUGUUGUAUACUUGUAUGAAAAGCAAAUGAAAAGUGAAGAGGUGUUCAAGCUAACAGGUUACCCCGAGUCAACUAUGUUGCUUUGCACUUUCAACCAACAUGUUGGGAUACACGUUUGGAACAAAGUAAAAUCUUACUGGAUUUUUCAUACUUGAUGAAUUUAAGCUGAAACAAAGUCUAGCACUAGCCAACUGGAUUCAUUCUGGAGAAUGAGCCCUAUUCAAUGAAAAAUAGACCUUACUGAAUCCUUCCUCCCUACAGCCCUUUUCCCACAAUUUAACAUUAGUAAAGUUAAACAAGUCUUGUGUAAAAAGAGAUCAUAUUGUAAGUCAGAUUCAGGGACACAGAAUAAGAUUUUAGUUAAAUUCACAGGAAAAAUGGAUUAAUUAGUAUUGGAAGCUAGAACUAGUAAAAAAAAAAAUCCAAUAAAACAGGCUUUCACAAUGGAUUUUUUAGGGACAAAAAUUCCAUUUUGGCCUUUUUUCUGUCUUUUGUUAGUUUUUUGAUAAAAUUUUAAGUUUUUAAAUUUCAUUUUCAGAAAAAUCUUACUGUCUUUCACUUCUUCCCUCUUUCAUAUGAGAAAAAAGCCAAAUGGAGCAUUUCCCCUCCAUUGAAACAUAAUUUAAAAUUGUUAAAAGCUAAGCAUUUUGACUUUAAAUAUAUUCAGAAAAAAUAAGAUUAAUGAAAUCUGUUCAACAAAAAA
This is a long non-coding RNA of Gavialis gangeticus (Gharial), 5531 nucleotides long. RefSeq lists it as uncharacterized. Lineage: Eukaryota; Metazoa; Chordata; Crocodylia; Gavialidae. The record is from RefSeq and is a predicted model, not a curated record. The transcript is spliced from 2 exons.